RNAcentral lists this ribosomal RNA (1005 nucleotides) under Coccomyces fagicola. RNAcentral describes it as "SSU rRNA". The stretch from base 135 to 1005 matches the Rfam family "Bacterial small subunit ribosomal RNA", at positions 1 to 1192 of the family's 1533-position model. Lineage: Eukaryota; Fungi; Ascomycota; Leotiomycetes; Rhytismatales; Rhytismataceae. The record is from RNAcentral.
UUGGGGAGAUGUAUAGUCCUCUUAUGGGGGCUAGUUAUGUUUGUUUUAGUUCUAUUAUAUAUAAGCUUUAGCAAAAAAGGGGGGAUAUGUUUUAGUUCUAUUAUACAUUAGAUGGUUGAGCAAAUAUAAAACCAACUACGUUGGAUAAAGUUCUAGAUAGAAUACUGAUUGUGACAAUUUUCUAUCUACUUGUCUUGACCAAAUUACGUGCCAGCAGUCGCGGUAAUACGUAAAAGACUAGUGUUAUCCAUCUUUAAUAGGUUUAAAGGGUACCUAGACGGCGAUUAUUAACCUUAAAGACGGAUAUAAUACAUGCUAGAGUUUGAUAAGAGAAGGGGGAGUAUUUACGGAGUAGAGAUGAAAUUCUUUGAUACCCUUAAGGACUGGCAAUGGCGAAAGCGACCUUUUAUGUAAAAAACUGACGUUGAGGGACGGAGGCUUGGAUAGCGAACAGGAUUAGAUACCCUAGUAGUCUUUGCAGAGAAUGAUGAAUGCCAUAGAUUAGAUAAAUUUAGUUUAUAAAUGAAAGUGUAAGCAUUCCACCUCAAGAGUAAUGUGGCAACGCAGGAACUGAAAUCAUUAGACCGUUUCUGAGAACAGUAGUGAAGUAUGUUAUUUAAUUCGGUGACCCUCGAAAAACCUUACCCCAACUUGAAUAGCAUCAUGCCCCUAUUAUUUUUUCUAAGGGAUCGAUCUACCUAUUAAUGGGUAUUUCGGGUUUAGACUUUUAAUUUAUAUAUAGAAAAGGUAAAAGUUUACUAAUCGGUAUGCCCUUAAAAAAAAAAAGGGCAUUUGCGUGCAUUUGCGUGCAUUUGCGUGCAUUUGCGUGCUUAGACUUUUAUCAGGGUGAUGUUACAUACGUUGCACGGUUGUCUUCAGCUAAUGUCGUGAGAUUUUGGUUAGUUCCAUAAAAUUAGCGUAAACCCCGGCUUUAUUUUUAAAUUCUUAUCAUAAAGCAGUUCAUCACUAUAUUGAAUACAUGAUAACAGGGAUCAAGACAAAUUC